Molecule: long non-coding RNA, 2110 nt
Organism: Syngnathoides biaculeatus (alligator pipefish)
Lineage: Eukaryota; Metazoa; Chordata; Actinopteri; Syngnathiformes; Syngnathidae
Exons: 3
Source: RefSeq, a predicted model, not a curated record
CAUGUCCCGUUCGUGUGCUCCGGUAUCCCUGAUUGAACCUGUGUGUACCGACCUUCGUCCGUUCUCCGACCAACCUUGUAAGCCUGACUCCUUCGUUACUUCUGCCUGCUUUGAUUCUUCUCCUGUGUACCGACUCCUGCCUGUCCGUUCAUCUCCUCUCUUCGCCUGGCGCCCAACUACCGCUGCUGCACCGAACUGCCUGCUCGAUCCCCUACCUCUGCAUAUAAUAAACGUGUAUCCUUGAACUACCUUGCAUCUUCCGAGUCCUGCAUUUGGGUCCUACUCUCGUUCCGAUGGGACGUGACAAUGAACUUGCAACAAAGCCAAAGUAUCAUCCUUGUUUCGAAGAUUCCUUGCACACAGGAAUGAAGCCAGACAAAAUAUCACCCUUGCUUCAAAGAGUCUUGUUCACAGGACGAGCCCCCACACACAGGUGAACCAGUCUACUCCUAAUCUUCUGAGAUGUGACCAAGGACAACUUCAUCAAUGCACACACAUCGUUCUCAAAGAAUGUGCCUUUGUUCACUUGCUUGCUCACCCCUUCUUUUGACCUUGUGUUUUUGGAAAUAAAGACUACACAAGAGGCUGAUUCACAACGUGUUUAGAGACUGUAACCGGCCUGUCUCUCACAUCCUCCUGAUCAGGAAGAUGAUUUCUUGGCCUCGUUUUUUUGUGCAUUAGUCCAGCAAAUUAGAUGACAAACCUAACAUUUUCUUGGUCCUUCGAGCCGGAUUCCAAGAUACCUGAAGAUCCCAGCUUCAGAGUCUACCUCCAGGAAGACCGUGGCCACCGCAACGCAGUUUAGGGGACUGGUUCUUGAGAUCUGAGGGUUGAUGGAAAUCCAAGGGCAAGAAGGCGUCUUGCUGCGCCACAUCUCUACCUCACUUCGAUCAACAUUGACGAAUGUGGGUGCCCCUUGAUGGAGGAACAGACCACGGAUGAACUGUUGUUUCAUCCUUUGAGCGUGGCCUGCUAAUUAGCACAACCCUGGUGUUAGCAACAAGACCAGCCGUCAAGAUGCCUCCCUUCUCUACUGAGGACUACUGCAGAGUGUCAGUUCUGGAAUCGAAAAACUGCCGGCCUGAUGUGGAUGGGAAUGAAACCACUUUACAGAUGUCUCCAAAUGGUGAGCAGAGGUGUGCGAAUAGACAGCCACCCAGCUCAACAAUGAGGACCGAAGUGAACUCUGGAAAGGAUAACGGACACCCCAGCAGUUCUCCUGGAAUUUACUGGGAGCAAAGUCAAACCAUAUGGGACAUUUAAAAAGGAAGACACAACAGCACCCGGAGAUUACGGAAGAAUCUGGUUGGCCUGCGUUGCAGGCCGCCUCGACACCAAGUGAGUGGCCAUGGACGGUCGCUACAGCUAAGAGCAAGAAAAAAAUAAUGUGAUUCAGUGUAUAAUAUUGACGUCAGACUUACAAAUAGAUUUGAGGGACUCUUACAAGACCCAGGUCAAGAAUGCUCAUCCUGCCCCACCAUUGAAAGGUGUGAAAUUAAAUCAUCCAAGAAAAGAUUGGGACCCCCAACAUUAAUAGUUGGUGAUGGAGCCAUCAAGGAUGUGAAAUGCUUUUGCAGUGUAAGGAACACUAAAGUACUGUUUUACUAAUGACAUAGUGUAGGAAUAAUUGAUCGUAAUUAUCAUACAUUCGCUUUCAAUAAAGAAAUGCUUUGCUCUGUCCUAGAUAACUUGGCAGUCUCCUAGCAGGAGAUAGCAAGAACAAAAACAUCUAAUCAUCAGAACUGUUAGAACUGCUGCCUGUUAAAGAAAUGAUGACCACACAUGUACUCAGCAAUAUUGCACACAAACAAGUACACCGUUUCCAACUAUGUUUUGCUCAUCCGUCUUUUUGUAAAAUCCAUGUAAAUAGGGAUGUUAUGAAACUAAAUAAAUAGAGGUGCUGAGGAGAGGAUAAUCAGAGUGCAGUGGUAAAUUGUACAAGACAGUUCCUCUCCUCUCUCCUCGCGAGCUGUCAAACUUGAACUGGUGUCUUUGCUUCCUUUUUGUCCAGUUUAAUUAAUGUCUAAUUGGUAAACCUGACAUUUACUUGGUCCUUUGAGCCGGAUCUCAAGAUACCUGAGGUUUCCAGGGGCUGUUUCGACGUCCAGGC